Molecule: ribosomal RNA, 219 nt
Filed under: uncultured bacterium
Lineage: Bacteria
Description: partial 16S ribosomal RNA
Rfam family: Bacterial small subunit ribosomal RNA
Source: RNAcentral
CGUGAAGAACCUGCCUUGGAGUGGGGAAUAACACAGUGAAAAUUGUGCUAAUACCGCAUAAUGCAGUUGGGUCGCAUGACUCUGACUGCCAAAGAUUUAUCGCUCUGAGAUGGCCUCGCGUCUGAUUAGCUAGUUGGUGGGGUAACGGCCCACCAAGGCGACGAUCAGUAGCCGACCUGAGAGGGUGACCGGCCACAUUGGGACUGAGACACGGCCCAA